Passer domesticus (house sparrow) is the source of this 437-nucleotide long non-coding RNA. RefSeq lists it as uncharacterized. Lineage: Eukaryota; Metazoa; Chordata; Aves; Passeriformes; Passeridae. The transcript has 2 exons. The record is from RefSeq and is a predicted model, not a curated record.
CAGAGGCGAUCCCAGCUGCAGCGCGGCUAUGAGAAUUUCACCUACACACACCAUCCAUGUAAUGAGAAAAUAAAGGAACUACUUGAAACAGAAGAUGUCUCUGUUCCUCCAAUUAACUUCCAAGGGAAAUCCCAGCUUUACUCUGGAACCAAACAAGGAUGGAACAGAAAGCACAGAGGUAUAAAACUUUUGUCUUGCAGCUCUCCAUGGGAAAUACCAGAACCUGAACACGUUCCAGCACUUACAACUUCCAGUUUAUCUUUCUGACUAGAGCAUUUAAAUAAUGAACCCUGUUGCUGAACACAACAAACAAAACUAGUUUUCUUGUUUUAGAACCAACUUUCUUCCCCUUGCAAUAUGCUUGAUAUUUUUAGGCAUGGAAAUAUGUGUAUUUCUGGAGGUUUUAAGUUAUGCUAGAAGUAAGGUCACAUGAAAGU